AAAAAAUUAGUUUAUAAAAACAUUGAUUUGUCAAAUCAAAGAUACUUUUGUAUUUUUUA
Molecule: transfer RNA, 59 nt
Filed under: Polytoxus fuscovittatus
Lineage: Eukaryota; Metazoa; Arthropoda; Insecta; Hemiptera; Reduviidae
Description: tRNA-Asp
Source: RNAcentral